Neofelis nebulosa (Clouded leopard) is the source of this 391-nucleotide long non-coding RNA. RefSeq lists it as uncharacterized. The record is from RefSeq and is a predicted model, not a curated record. The transcript is spliced from 2 exons. NCBI's taxonomy places the organism in Eukaryota, Metazoa, Chordata, Mammalia, Carnivora, Felidae.
AUGAGUUCUCUUACUGGUCCUUCAUCUGAGCAUGUCUUUAUUUCUCCUUCAUAUUAUCUCUGGAUAUGUGAUUCUUAACUGACAGUUCUUUUCUUUCAGAAAUUGAAAAAUGUUGUGUCACUUCCUUGAUGAGAGAUGAGAAAUCUACUGUCAUUUGAACUGUUUUCCCCGAUAGACUUAUUCUCAGUUCAUGCCUCAUGACCAGAAUUGAUUGAUCGCCUCCCAAGUGAAGAGCCUCUGCCUGCACGUCUUACUGCACCCACUUCCUCUCUCAGCACUGCUCCCCCAAAUGCUGGUCUGUCUCUGGUAGGUUCUGGCUCUGCCCCUCCCCACCUCAGUGCUCUGUUUCUCUGUCUCUCAAAACAAAUAAACUUUAAAAAGUUACAUAUAA